This 1556-nucleotide ribosomal RNA is filed under the name Escherichia coli. RNAcentral's name for it is "bacterial SSU rRNA". It matches the Rfam family "Bacterial small subunit ribosomal RNA". Lineage: Bacteria; Pseudomonadati; Pseudomonadota; Gammaproteobacteria; Enterobacterales; Enterobacteriaceae. The record is from RNAcentral.
UUAAAUUGAAGAGUUUGAUCAUGGCUCAGAUUGAACGCUGGCGGCAGGCCUAACACAUGCAAGUCGAACGGUAACAGGAAGCAGCUUGCUGCUUUGCUGACGAGUGGCGGACGGGUGAGUAAUGUCUGGGAAACUGCCCGAUGGAGGGGGAUAACUACUGGAAACGGUAGCUAAUACCGCAUAACGUCGCAAGACCAAAGAGGGGGACCUUCGGGCCUCUUGCCAUCGGAUGUGCCCAGAUGGGAUUAGCUAGUAGGUGGGGUAAAGGCUCACCUAGGCGACGAUCCCUAGCUGGUCUGAGAGGAUGACCAGCCACACUGGAACUGAGACACGGUCCAGACUCCUACGGGAGGCAGCAGUGGGGAAUAUUGCACAAUGGGCGCAAGCCUGAUGCAGCCAUGCCGCGUGUAUGAAGAAGGCCUUCGGGUUGUAAAGUACUUUCAGCGGGGAGGAAGGGAGUAAAGUUAAUACCUUUGCUCAUUGACGUUACCCGCAGAAGAAGCACCGGCUAACUCCGUGCCAGCAGCCGCGGUAAUACGGAGGGUGCAAGCGUUAAUCGGAAUUACUGGGCGUAAAGCGCACGCAGGCGGUUUGUUAAGUCAGAUGUGAAAUCCCCGGGCUCAACCUGGGAACUGCAUCUGAUACUGGCAAGCUUGAGUCUCGUAGAGGGGGGUAGAAUUCCAGGUGUAGCGGUGAAAUGCGUAGAGAUCUGGAGGAAUACCGGUGGCGAAGGCGGCCCCCUGGACGAAGACUGACGCUCAGGUGCGAAAGCGUGGGGAGCAAACAGGAUUAGAUACCCUGGUAGUCCACGCCGUAAACGAUGUCGACUUGGAGGUUGUGCCCUUGAGGCGUGGCUUCCGGAGCUAACGCGUUAAGUCGACCGCCUGGGGAGUACGGCCGCAAGGUUAAAACUCAAAUGAAUUGACGGGGGCCCGCACAAGCGGUGGAGCAUGUGGUUUAAUUCGAUGCAACGCGAAGAACCUUACCUGGUCUUGACAUCCACGGAAGUUUUCAGAGAUGAGAAUGUGCCUUCGGGAACCGUGAGACAGGUGCUGCAUGGCUGUCGUCAGCUCGUGUUGUGAAAUGUUGGGUUAAGUCCCGCAACGAGCGCAACCCUUAUCCUUUGUUGCCAGCGGUCCGGCCGGGAACUCAAAGGAGACUGCCAGUGAUAAACUGGAGGAAGGUGGGGAUGACGUCAAGUCAUCAUGGCCCUUACGACCAGGGCUACACACGUGCUACAAUGGCGCAUACAAAGAGAAGCGACCUCGCGAGAGCAAGCGGACCUCAUAAAGUGCGUCGUAGUCCGGAUUGGAGUCUGCAACUCGACUCCAUGAAGUCGGAAUCGCUAGUAAUCGUGGAUCAGAAUGCCACGGUGAAUACGUUCCCGGGCCUUGUACACACCGCCCGUCACACCAUGGGAGUGGGUUGCAAAAGAAGUAGGUAGCUUAACCUUCGGGAGGGCGCUUACCACUUUGUGAUUCAUGACUGGGGUGAAGUCGUAACAAGGUAACCGUAGGGGAACCUGCGGUUGGAUCACCUCCUUACCUUAAAGAAGC